GAGGAAGUAAAAGUCGUAACAAGGUUUCCGUAGGUGAACCUGCGGAAGGAUCAUUAUCGAAUCCUACCAGGGAGGGAGGGAAAAUGGACAAGGACYCUCAAGGCUGUCGCCGGCAACGUGCACGCCUUCCUCUUUCAUGGACCCCCCUUUCUAGUUUCCUUAUCCACCUGUGCACCCUUUGUAGGCCCUCGAAAGAGGUUCUAUGUUUAUCUAUCUACUACCACAUGUAUGUCCAGAAUGUAUACAAAUUUUACAACUUUCAGCAACGGAUCUCUUGGCUCUCGCAUCGAUGAAGAACGCAGCGAAUUGCGAUAAGUAAUGUGAAUUGCAGAUUUUCAGUGAAUCAUCGAAUCUUUGAACGCACCUUGCGCUCCUUGGUAUUCCGAGGAGCAUGCCUGUUUGAGUGUCAUCGAAUUCUCAACCAUGUCUUGAAUGAGGCAUGGCUUGGACUUGGGGGUUGCUGGCACACGUCUGUCRGCUCUCCUGAAAUGCAUUAGCGAUGGUCAGCAAGCCUGACGUGCACGGCCUUUUCGACGUGAUAACGAUCGUCGUGGGCUGGAGCGGUAGGGUGAGCGGUGAAUCGCUUCUAAUCUAAAGUCGGUCGUGAGACUGACUGAGGCUAGCCUUAGUUACUAGUCGGUCGUGAGGCUGACGAACRCGCAGGGUCUAGGUUUUGAACUCUUGACCUCAAAUCAGGUAGGACUACCCGCUGAACUUAAGCA
Molecule: ribosomal RNA, 722 nt
Filed under: Boletus pinophilus
Lineage: Eukaryota; Fungi; Basidiomycota; Agaricomycetes; Boletales; Boletaceae
Description: eukaryotic LSU rRNA
Rfam family: 5.8S ribosomal RNA (bases 255-409)
Source: RNAcentral